ACGGAAGGCAGCAGUGGGGAAUAUUGGGCAAUGGGCGAAAGCCUGACCCAGCAACGCCGCGUGAAGGAAGAAGGUCUUCGGAUUGUAAACUUCUUUUAUGAGGGACGAAGGACGUGACGGUACCUCAUGAAUAAGCCACGGCUAACUACGUGCCAGCAGCCGCGGUAAUACGUAGGUGGCGAGCGUUAUCCGGAUUUACUGGGUGUGAAGGGCGCGUAGGCGGGGUUGCAAGUCAGAUGUGAAAUCUAUGGGCUUAACUCAUAAACUGCAUUUGAAACUGUAAUACUUGAGUGCUGGAGAGGUAGAUGGAAUUCCUUGUGUAGCGGUGAAAUGCGUAGAUAUAAGGAAGAACACCAGUGGCGAAGGCGAUCUACUGGACAGUAACUGACGCUGAGGCGCGAGAGCGUGGGGAGCAAACAGGAUUAGAUACCCUGGUA
RNAcentral lists this ribosomal RNA (437 nucleotides) under uncultured Oscillospiraceae bacterium. RNAcentral's name for it is "partial 16S ribosomal RNA". It matches the Rfam family "Bacterial small subunit ribosomal RNA", at positions 341 to 792 of the family's 1533-position model. The record is from RNAcentral. Lineage: Bacteria; Bacillati; Bacillota; Clostridia; Eubacteriales; Oscillospiraceae.